UGGGGAAUAUUGCACAAUGGGCGCAAGCCUGAUGCAGCCAUGCCGCGUGUGUGAAGAAGGCCUUCGGGUUGUAAAGCACUUUCAGCGAGGAGGAAGGGUAGUGUGUUAAUAGCACAUUGCAUUGACGUUACUCGCAGAAGAAGCACCGGCUAACUCCGUGCCAGCAGCCGCGGUAAUACGGAGGGUGCAAGCGUUAAUCGGAAUUACUGGGCGUAAAGCGCGCGCAGGCGGUUUGUUAAGUCAGAUGUGAAAUCCCCGCGCUUAACGUGGGAACUGCAUUUGAAACUGGCAAGCUAGAGUCUUGUAGAGGGGGGUAGAAUUCCAGGUGUAGCGGUGAAAUGCGUAGAGAUCUGGAGGAAUACCGGUGGCGAAGGCGGCCCCCUAGACAAAGACUGACGCUCAGGUGCGAAAGCGUGGGGAGCAAACA
This 427-nucleotide ribosomal RNA is filed under the name uncultured bacterium. Its description in RNAcentral is "partial 16S ribosomal RNA". It matches the Rfam family "Bacterial small subunit ribosomal RNA", at positions 355 to 774 of the family's 1533-position model. The record is from RNAcentral.